RNAcentral lists this ribosomal RNA (468 nucleotides) under uncultured bacterium. RNAcentral's name for it is "partial 16S ribosomal RNA". It matches the Rfam family "Bacterial small subunit ribosomal RNA", at positions 28 to 507 of the family's 1533-position model. The record is from RNAcentral.
GACGAACGCUGGCGGCGUGCUUAACACAUGCAAGUCGAACGGAAAGGCCCUGCUUUUGUGGGGUGCUCGAGUGGCGAACGGGUGAGUAACACGUGAGUAACCUGCCCUUGACUUUGGGAUAACUUCAGGAAACUGGGGCUAAUACCGGAUAGGAGCUCCUGCUGCAUGGGGGGGGUUGGAAAGAUUCGGCGGUUGGGGAUGGACUCGCGGCUUAUCAGCUUGUUGGUGGGGUAGUGGCUUACCAAGGCUUUGACGGGUAGCCGGCAUGAGAGGGUGACCGGGCACAUUGGGACUGCGAUACGGCCCAGACUGCUACGGGCGGCAGCAGUGGGGAAUAUUGCACAAUGGGCGGAAGCCUGAUGCAGAGACGCCGCGUGCGGGAUGACGGCCUUCGGGUUGUAAACCGCUUUCGAAUGUGACGAAGCGUGAGUGACGGUAAUGGGUAAAGAAGCACCGGCUAACUACGUG